RNAcentral lists this long non-coding RNA (554 nucleotides) under Setaria viridis. RNAcentral's name for it is "long non-coding RNA (SVIR_LNC003328)". Lineage: Eukaryota; Viridiplantae; Streptophyta; Magnoliopsida; Poales; Poaceae. The record is from RNAcentral.
UCAACACAUGCCCCUCAGUUUCAGAGUGAAACUUAUCUUUUGCUCCAAAAUUAUCUCAGACAUGAUUACCUUCCCUAGGAAACCGCUGAUCCUUACCAAUCACCGAGUAACAAAAUAUUUUCUAUUCGGAAAUCUCCUCAGUCAUGAUUGCCUGCAAAAGCAUCUGGGGGUAACAGCUCUUCGAGUUCUGUGUAGGUGGUGGAUGCGAUACCACAUUUACCCUCUCGGAUGAGUUUAUAAAUUUACAGCCGUCAUCUUCUUCAUCCCUACCGGUUCAUCUUCUCACACCACCAUACCUUACUUCCUCUUUCUUUUCGGGUGAAGGGCGACCGUCGAUGAACUUCGGCAACCAUCAGAGAUCUCUAGUGACCAUUGGUGAUUUGCUUGCUAAUCACUUCAGAUCCCAAACCAAUUCCAUGGCCACCCUUACUACCAUCCCCAAGGUACACCUCUCUACCUUCAUCGUCCUCCCUGUGCCCUUACUUUCCUUUCCUCACUUAGCCAUUUUCGCAUUUCUCAGGCCCUUAGAGAUAGAAUCACCAUCUCCAUAGCUG